GUGCAGCAGGCGAGAAACUUCACACUGUGCGAAAGCACGAUGAGGGAAUCCCAAGUGCUUGCACGUAAGUGUAAGCUGUUUCUCUGUUUAAAACGCAGAGAGAGUAAGGGCUGGGUAAGACGGGUGCCAGCCGCCGCGGUAAUACCUGCAGCUCAAGUGGUGACCGUUAUUAUUGGGCCUAAAACGUCCGUAGCCGGUUUAAUAAAUGCCUGGGUAAAUCGUGUAGCUUAACUAUACGAAUUCCGGGUAGACUGUUAAACUCGAGACCGGGAGAAGUUAGAGGUACUCCUGGGGUAGAGGUGAAAUUCUGUAAUCCUAGGGGACCACCAGUGGCGAAGGCGUCUAACUAGAACGGGUCUGACGGUGAGGGACGAAGCCCUGGGGCGCAAACGGGAUUAGAUACCCCCGUAGU
RNAcentral lists this ribosomal RNA (412 nucleotides) under uncultured microorganism. RNAcentral's name for it is "bacterial SSU rRNA". It matches the Rfam family "Archaeal small subunit ribosomal RNA", at positions 330 to 745 of the family's 1478-position model. The record is from RNAcentral.